This is a long non-coding RNA of Homo sapiens (human), 2157 nucleotides long. NCBI's taxonomy places the organism in Eukaryota, Metazoa, Chordata, Mammalia, Primates, Hominidae. The record is from Ensembl.
GCCUCUUAGGUCCUUGAUCAGAAGAACAGGACUGCAUGCCUGGGGGUGGGUGCAGUCUGGCGUGCCAGGAGGAGGCCUGCACCCCCUGCUCGAAACUGCUGAGGUCGACUCCCCUCCCACCCCAAGAGCUGGGGAUACCUGCAGGAUGUGCACGCCCUUCAGGGAGACCACGGCAAGCUCCUGCAGCCCAUCCCCGGUCAGGUCCACGUGAGCCAUGGCCAGCAGGGGACUGGAGAAGCUCCGCUGCCACAGCAGAUGGAACCCGUGCUGGGCCUCAGGAAGCCCCGACUCUGGGCCCCGGUACUUAUAACACAGCAGUUCCUGCGGGGGUGAAGAAUCAGGUCACACAGGUUGAUGGGGGGACAGUGGAGGGAGGCCGGUGGGUGUGGCUCCAACUGUCAGGUCCCACCUGUCCAUAGGUGGCCACCAGGACUUCUGGCCGCCCAUCCAAAUCCACAUCGGUGACCAGGCUGCAGAGGACGCUGUCAAACUGGUCACUGCCGGGCAGGAGAAGCUGGUCUUCAAGACCCCGGUUCAGCAGGUCCCUGAGGGUCCCAAAUACAGCAUAUAGACUGGGGUCAGCUUGCAGUGCCCAGCACCCUUGGCGGAUGCUAAGCUGGGUACCGGUACUGCUUCCCUUCUCAGGCCUAGACACACUGGUCCUCCGGAAGCCUAGACAUCAUCAUCUCAGAUUUGGACAUAUUCAUAGACCCAGCAAGGGGUCAACCUGUGCACUCAAGCCCUUCAUCUCGGAGACCAUCUCACUCCCAAAUGGAAAGCCACAGUGUCCCAUCUGAGGAUUCAGAUGCAUGUGUCCUCAAUUUAGACACCCACGCUGCCUUCGUGGAGCCCGAAGAGGGCUUGGCCCUGGCCUGGACACCUUCACCACCCCUAGAGGGGUGCCAGAGCUGGCUAUAGUUGCUUCCGAGAGCUGACUGGGAAAUGUUCCCAUGUAAUCAUGUUCAUGGUUUGAAAGCCACCAUGGUGGGAGUAUUUACACUUUGGAAACUCUGGUAAAUGCUACAAACCUGGGCUUUCCUCGUGCAUAGCCAGUGAUUAACCAUUUUCCAGCAUACCUACUACAUCUACUCCAGGGGGCACAGGCAUCUCUGCUCCCACCCCCCAGCCUCAACAUAUUCCCUACAAGUCUAGACUUCAAUAUUCACAGCCCCCACCCCUGGGUCACGAGUAUCUGUACUUGUCCAGCUCUGGGUAAUCCACCCAGAGGAACUUACUGUAGAGAAUGACAAGGUUAGACCACAGUGCAAAGAAAGAAGGUUAGACCACACCCAUGUGUCUCAGGCCCCCUCACCGAUACACCACUGCUGGCUCCAACAUGCUGGCCACGAGCACGCUGUACUCAUCUUGUAGUGGCCUGUCCUUGGUCUCUGGAGAAGAAACAUGAAUGGUAAUCCCAGCACUUUGGGAGGCCAAGGCGGGUGGAUCAGCUGAGGUCAGGAGUUCGAGACCAGCCUGGUCAACAUGAUAAAACCCCGCCUCUACUAAAAACACAAAAAUUAGCCGGGCAUGGUGGCGGGCACCUGUAAUGCCAGCUACUCAGGAGGCUGAGGCAGGAGACUUGCUUGAACCUGGGAGGCGGAGGUUGGAGUGAGCCAAGAUCACACCACUGCACUCCAGCCUGGGUGACAGAGCGAGACUCCGUCUCAGAAAAAGAAAAAAAAAAAAAGAAACAUGAAUGAAUAGGGGAAAGGUUUUGUGGGGACAGGUUCCAGGCUCCUCGUCAUACCCCAGGCCCCUUUAAUGAGAGACAUGCAGGUUAGAUCUCAGGAAAAAGUCUUGAGGCUGUGCUACACAGGGAGGGUUAGAGAUUGGCCCAUGAGACAAAUUAUAAGUCAGACACCAGAAGGAGAAAUAGGUGUUAGAUGAUGGCUUAAAAAGUCUGAGGUUCUGGGUGUGGUGGCUCAUGUAAUCCCAGCACUUUUGGAGGCCGAGGCAGGCGGAUCACCUGAGGUCAAGAGUUCGAGACUAGCCUGGCCAACAUGGUGAAACCCUGUGUCUACUAAAAACACAAAAAUUAGCCUGGCAUGAUGGCAUACACUUGUAAUCCCAGCUACUCAGGAGGCUGAGGCAGGAGAAUUGCUUGAACCUGGGAGGUGGAGGUGAUAGUGAGCCGAGAUUGUGCCACUGCAACCAGCC